Non-coding RNA from Rattus norvegicus (Norway rat), 1560 nucleotides. The record is from RefSeq and is a predicted model, not a curated record. NCBI's taxonomy places the organism in Eukaryota, Metazoa, Chordata, Mammalia, Rodentia, Muridae.
GUAAUAAUAUUGAUCGACACCUUAACUACUAAUAAUGACGGGCAAGAGGUGUGCCCCAGAAGGAAAGCUGCGGCCUUGAGCAACCCUUUGCUGAGGCACUAAGCCCCGCCCAGAGCUAGCAUUUCUACCCAAUCAUGAGAGGUUCUGAGCCGUCCAUUACUAUCUGCUCUUCAAACCUCGGCCCUGGUAACUGUUGAGAUGGGAGGGGUGUGCUAUGAAAAUGAUUGACGUCUAAGCGGUCAGUGACACGGAUGGAAGGCGGGCUCUCGUAUUUGACCAAUGGAGUCAUGAGACUGGGAAUGAGGUUGGCGUCCCGGGCGGUAGGACUUAAGGCCCUGGGCUGAAUGAAAUGGAGGAGUUAAUGAGGAGGCGUGUCCCAGGCAAGGAAUAGGCGGGAUCAGACAAGGGCCGGGAUCUUGGCUUAGGUUUUAGAACCGGCGUAUCUAGAAAGCUCCUCUUCAGAGCCAGGAUCAGUGUGGCGGGCGGGUGAUUAGGUCAGGUCCUACCCUUGCUGGGCGAAUCUGGCGUCAAAACUCCCGAUUAUAUCCCUCACCUGUCCCAACCAUUCUCUCUCCUGGGGCGGAGAGGGGAUGGGGCGUGGAGCAUCGGAGGGGAUGUCAGGUCUCCUUUAGGUCCAGAGCCACGCACGUAAGAGCUGCCUGUAAAUGCUUGAAGAAUGAAUGAAUGGGACUACGAUUCUUUUGCCAAACUCCUCCUCCUUGUCCUCCUUUUUCUCCUCCACUUUCUCCUCCCACUUUCUGAGUUUUUUUUUUUUUUUUGUUUUUUUUGUUUUGGAGAUAGUCUCUUGUAGAGCAGCAUGGCCUCAAAGUUUUCUAUGUAGUAGAGGGUGACUUCGAACUCCAGAUCCUCCCACCUUCACCUCCCACUCACCACCUUGGCCGGAUCCUAGAUUCUUUUAAUAAGAGCAGGGGAGGCUCAGAGGCAGCUGUGUCACCAAAGCAACACUCCAGGAUGAUCGAGGACUCCAGAAAGCUGCAGCCUGAGAGAUCUCUGCAGGACUCGUAGGCCAUGCCAUAGGAUGUGCAGGGAUAAAGAUGGAGCAGAGAUUGAGAGAAUGGCCGACCAAUGACUGCCCAAGGACUUCCUGAACUCUGCCUGAUGUUUGGCUGUGGGUCACUGCGUCUGCCUCCAUCUGCUGCUGAACGAAGCCUCUCAGAAGACAGUCAUGCUAGGCUCCUGUCUCCGAGCAUAGCAUCAUUAAUAGUAUUAAUGGGUCUCAGACUGGGGCAGUCGUUGGUCGGCUGCUCCCUCAGUCUCGGCUCCGUCUUUAUUCCUAAACAUCUCGUAGGCAGGACACAUUUUGAGCUGGAGGUUUUAUGGGUGAUUGACAUCCCCCUCCCUCCCUCUGGAAGUCCCACCUGGCUACAGGAGGUGGCCACUUCAGCCUCUAUAUCCAGUUAUACCAGUCCUAGGUAUAUACCCAAAAGAUGGUCCAUCUGCUCAACUAUGCUUAUAGCAACUUUAUUCAUAAUAUCUAGAAACAUCCUAUAUAUCCCUCAACUCAAGAAUGGAUAAAGAAAAUGUGGUAUGCCCACACAA